GCUCAAGUUUUUAAGGGCGCACGGUGGAUGCCUUGGCACCAGGAACCGAAGAAGGACGUAGGAAUCUGCGAUAAGCCUCGGGGAGUCGAUAACCAGACUUUGAUCCGAGGAUUUCCGAAUGGGGAAACCCGGCUGGAGGCAAGUCCAGUCACUCCUGCCUGAAUAUAUAGGGCAGGUAGAGGGAACGCGGGGAAGUGAAACAUCUCAGUACCCGCAGGAAGAGAAAACAAUAGUGAUUCCGUGAGUAGUGGCGAGCGAAAGCGGAUGAGGCCAAACCGGGUCUGUGUGAUAGCUGUCAGGCGUUGCAGGUCCGGGGUUGUGGGAGCUUUUUCACGAUGCUGACAUGUCGUGGUGGAGUAAAAAAUCUUUGUCAUAGUCGAAGGGUCUUGAAUGGCCCGGCACAGAGGGUGCGACCCCCGUAGACGAAAUGGCGUGGACUCCAUGGAAGAUUUCCCAAGUAGCACGGGGCCCGAGAAAUCCCGUGUGAAUCUGGCGGGACCACCCGCUAAGCCUAAAUAUUCCCUGGUGACCGAUAGCGGACAAGUACCGUGAGGGAAAGGUGAAAAGUACCCCGGGAGGGGAGUGAAAUAGAUCCUGAAACCGUGCGCUUACAAUCCGUCGGAGCCUCCUUGUGGGGUGACGGCGUGCCUUUUGAAGAAUGA
Molecule: non-coding RNA, 662 nt
Organism: Janibacter hoylei PVAS-1
Lineage: Bacteria; Bacillati; Actinomycetota; Actinomycetes; Micrococcales; Intrasporangiaceae
Source: Rfam